AAAGUGACGUAAAUGAACCGGGCAAACGGCGAAAAGGACGAAAGAAAAGUCUGAAAAGGUUCACGGAAAAACAGUUAAAACUACAAGGUUUAGCUUCGGUCAAUUGGGGAACAAGCUCUUACGUUGGUUGAUGACAAUGAAAGCAAUAAACGUCAUUUAACCAUCAGUUCUGGCCUUCUCAACUUUGACUGGAUGCUACACUCUGCAGGACGCUCACUUUGUGUCUUUGUUGCUGACGCAGUUCUGUUCUCCUGCAGCGAAGCUCCUGUGCUGCUCCCUGCUGGCUGUCUGUCUGCAUGCACAGCUGAAGCACAGAUAUUUAGAAUAUCCGUAACAAUGUGGAAAAGUGUUUUAACUUUAAUGCAUGCUGGGAGGUGAGGCAUGAAGUAAAUGAUCAAUUGGACGUUUACUCACCUUAAUUCAUUAUAAUACAUUAUACAUAAACAAUAUAAACUUGAAACUGUAAUCACCCUGAGAAUUGUUGAUUGAAUGCAACAGAUGUGACAAAACCAAUUAAAUUCAACAUAUGUUUUUAAAUAAAUGCACAAAAUCCCGGAGGCAAAGAGGCAGGACAGACUCUUUAAUUAUGAUUUCCUCUGGUUACCCCAGGACAGUAUAUAUACUGUCAGUGCUUUGUUAAAGUUGCUUCUUUAUCUAUUCUAUUCAGACUGUGUGAGUUUAUGGUUUCUUGUAACCACUUUACAUGAAGUUUAAUUUCAUACAAACGUUUUUGUUUUUCUAACUGUGACUUUCUGUCAUCUAAAGUUAUGUUGAGUCGGGUGUCAGUACCUGAGUCCAGGUGCUCAGUUUAAGAGCAGUUUUUUAACAGUAAAAUAAACGUAUAGUAUCAAAAGCAAAACUCAUUAUGCAAAUGGCCCCAUUCAGAUGAUGAAUAUUAUUAAAAGGUGCACAAGUAUGUUGCCAUGGCAAUUUACGUUUCCAACUAGCUCUCUCUGUACUGGUUUGCCCUCAAGACCUGCUCUUCAAUACCACACAGCACCGCCUCACACCCUGUACACCUGAGACAGAAAAGGCCGACAUGGAGGGAAGGAGAAAGCCGAUUGCAGUGGGAAGAUCUGGUCCAUGUCCAACUGAAGACACGAGACUCAUAUGUGGAGACGGCAGUACUGCUGGACACUCUCACAGCAGAGGGAGCAGCAGGAGGAGCAGCAGGAGCGGGUCUGUUGUCUGGAUCUGUUGUUCUCUGUUGGAUUUUCUAUGCUGGAUCAUGGCGGAGGCGCAGAGGACACCGGAUAUCGCUAAGAAGCAGUUUCUUCCCCAGAAAGCAACAGUUUCUACCUGACGGGACGAUAUGAGGAUGUGGUACAAGUGAAACCUGGAGAUGACGUCAUUCUGCCAUGUCAGGCUGGUGAAGCCUCCAUCAGAGUUGUAGAGUGGACCAGACCUGACCUGGAGCCAGAGUACGUCCUCCUUUACAGAGAUGGACGCUCAGAUCCAACCCACCAGCAUCCAUCCUUUAAGGACCGGGUGCAGCUGGUGGACAGAGAGCUGAAGGACGGAGACGUGUCUUUAAUUCUGAAGAACGUGAGCAGCAACGACGCUGGAACAUACGAGUGUCGAGUUGCAGCAGGAGGUUCAAGACGUAAGAGAACCAACCUUGACACUCAACCAGUCAGAAUCAUCCAGCUGGAGGUUUCAGGGUCCAACAGCGGAGACGUCGAGGAGGGAAACUACAGACAUUACUACGGACUGGGAGCACCUUUUGUUCUGGUUUGUUUAGCUGCUGUUGGAUUGGUUGUUGGCUGGAAAUAUGAAAGAGAUAAGAACAAGAAACCAGAACAGCCUGCUGCUGAAGAAGCAGUGAACGACUAGUUACUCUGACUUGUCACAGACUCUUUCCACUUGUCAAUAUGUGGUUCAUACAUUCAACAUGAUUUUCAGUCUUUCUGUUGUUGUGAAUGUGUAAAUCUGGCGUUUGAGGCUCUCCACCGUGAUAAUCUGCUUCAUCAGUGCAGACAGACGGUGGGGCGGGGUUUGCGUGCUCGUUGACUUUGGAAGUUGUCUGGUCAGGUCUCCAUGACAAAUUGGUCCCAGGAACAAAAGUCUGAUUUCUGUUGCUUCGCCAACAUGGGUCCCAUUUUUAAGACCUGCGUUGGGACCUGUUCCGGUUGAUCUGGCUGGUGGAUUAUGGUACCAAGUGUUUCAGCAAUAAAGCCGGGGAAAAACUGACAAGUAUAGUGAAGGGCAAUAUGCAAUAUGUAUAAAAGAGGAGGAAGUUACCUGACGGCUUUAAAAAAUGAAGUGAAUAAAAAUGUUACAGUAAGGAGAGUAAAUGUAGCUGGUUGCUUGCAGCCUCAGCACUGAUGUAUCACAGGGAGCUUCAUGAACAGAUUAACCAGCUUUAAACAGAAAAACGGUCUGUGAUGUCAGAAAUGUCAGCAGACAGAGCGCAAACCAAACCUGUUGAAACCAGGUGGAGAGAGGUUUAUUUAUACAUAUAUUAUAUGAUGAAUAUUGAGUAUUCUAAUGUUUUCUUUUAGAAUUUGAUGUUUUAAAACCUGUGAUGUCUGUAUAUAUUUGUUAUAAGCUAAUGAUAUCAGAAGGACGUGGCCUUGUGUGAUUUAACCAGAGGAGUUUAUUAAACUCUGAUUAGAUCAGACCUGUGGUCAGAGCAUCUGAUGAAACUCUGUCAAACUGAGAAUAAUUGACAGAGUAGAAUUACACGAUCGGUACAAAAGAACAUGUGGUUAUGCAAUAAUAUGAAUUAAACAAAAAGCAAUAACUUGCACUCUGCACAAAUGUACUUAAAGUGAUUCUUUUAACUAUAUUUUGGGAUAAAAUAAAUAUUUUUCAUGUUGUUACAUUUA
Micropterus salmoides (largemouth bass) is the source of this 2828-nucleotide RNA transcript. It is a transcript of the gene named programmed cell death 1 ligand 1-like, with no coding region annotated. The record is from RefSeq and is a predicted model, not a curated record. NCBI's taxonomy places the organism in Eukaryota, Metazoa, Chordata, Actinopteri, Centrarchiformes, Centrarchidae. The transcript is spliced from 6 exons.